Molecule: ribosomal RNA, 253 nt
Filed under: uncultured bacterium
Lineage: Bacteria
Description: partial 16S ribosomal RNA
Rfam family: Bacterial small subunit ribosomal RNA
Source: RNAcentral
UACAGAGGGUGCAAGCGUUGUUCGGAAUUAUUGGGCGUAAAGCGCGUGUAGGCGGCUUUGCAAGUCGGGUGUGAAAGCCCUCAGCUCAACUGAGGAAGUGCGCCCGAAACUGCAGAGCUUGAGUGCCGGAGAGGGUGGCGGAAUUCCCCAAGUAGAGGUGAAAUUCGUAGAUAUCGGGAGGAACACCAGUGGCGAAGGCGGCUUCCUGGACCGGUUCUGACACUGAGGAGCGAAAGCGUGGGGAGCGAUCCGG